CCAUCUAGUAGCUGGUUCCCUC
This 22-nucleotide non-coding RNA is filed under the name Arabidopsis thaliana (thale cress). The record is from RNAcentral. RNAcentral also lists the same sequence under 1 other name. Lineage: Eukaryota; Viridiplantae; Streptophyta; Magnoliopsida; Brassicales; Brassicaceae.